This 148-nucleotide signal recognition particle RNA is filed under the name Pan paniscus (pygmy chimpanzee). Its description in RNAcentral is "Metazoan signal recognition particle RNA". It matches the Rfam family "Metazoan signal recognition particle RNA". From Rfam's summary of the family: The signal recognition particle (SRP) is a universally conserved ribonucleoprotein. It is involved in the co-translational targeting of proteins to membranes. The eukaryotic SRP consists of a 300-nucleotide 7S RNA and six proteins: SRPs 72, 68, 54, 19, 14, and 9. The record is from Rfam by way of RNAcentral. RNAcentral also lists the same sequence under 1 other name. Lineage: Eukaryota; Metazoa; Chordata; Mammalia; Primates; Hominidae.
GCUGGGUGUGGUGGCUGGCGCCUGUAAUCCCAGCUACUCCGGAGGCUGAGGCAGGAGAAUCACUUGAACCCAGGAGGCUGAGGCUGCAGUGAGCAGAGAUUGCGCCACUGUGCUCCAGCCUGGGUGACAGAGUGAGACUCUGUCUCAU